Molecule: non-coding RNA, 585 nt
Organism: Podarcis muralis (Common wall lizard)
Lineage: Eukaryota; Metazoa; Chordata; Lepidosauria; Squamata; Lacertidae
Source: RefSeq, a predicted model, not a curated record
GCUCUGACUGACAGACUGUAGCAACGGCCUUUGAUUUCGGCAAGAUUCCCUUCAACCGCUCCUGGUGUCACAACGUCCCAAGGAUCCUAUAAAUAUCGAAAGCUCCGUGUUGCCCUGGAAACCUUUGAGACUUGGUCUUGCUUGUAAGACUGAAUCCAGCUUUCCCACAUUGCUCCAUCCCAGCUGAGUCAUGAAGAUCCUCCAAUUGUGCCUGGCAGUUCUCUCUUUGCUGCUCCUGUCUUCCUCAGGAUCUGCCCAGCUAAUACCAGGGAAUAGUCAACAAUGCAGUGGUGUUUGCAGAUUUGGAGGUUGUAUCUAUCCCUUCAUUCAGAGGGGGAGAUGUGGAUGGCUGAGGAGAUGUUGCGUAAGGAAGGAAUGAUUGCUGCCUGCUUACCCAGGAUCCUUUGAAAAAUGGGAGAUGUUCCCUCACCUUGAGAGCCACUGGAUCCUGCUUAAUCCCUUGCUGGAGACGCCUUCUGCUUAUUCCCCAAAGAAUCCAGAUAAAAAUUAAUAAAUGAAGACUUCAGAAAAAUUCCAUCAAUUGUAUGAGCUUGUUCCUUGUAAUAAAAGCAAAAUAAAGCACUC